Molecule: ribosomal RNA, 253 nt
Filed under: uncultured bacterium
Lineage: Bacteria
Description: partial 16S ribosomal RNA
Rfam family: Bacterial small subunit ribosomal RNA
Source: RNAcentral
UACAGAGGGUGCAAGCGUUAAUCGGAAUUACUGGGCGUAAAGGGUGCGUAGGUGGUUAAUUAAGUCAGAUGUGAAAUCCCCAGGCUUAACCUGGGAAUUGCAUUUGAAACUGAAUGACUAGAGUAUGGUAGAGGGAAGUGGAAUUUCCGGUGUAGCGGUGAAAUGCGUAGAUAUCGGAAGGAACAUCAGUGGCGAAGGCGACUUCCUGGACCAUUACUGACACUGAGGCACGAAAGCGUGGGGAGCGAACAGG